UGAAAAACAUCAGACAGGCUGGGACACCAAGAUGGAGUCACAGACCCAGGUCUUCAUAUUCCUGCUCCUCUGGAUGUCUGGUGCUGAGGGGAACAUUGUGAUGACCCAGUCUCCUGAAUUCAUGUCCACAUCUGUAGGAGACAGGAUAACCCUAAGCUGCAAAUCCAGUCAGAAUGUGAAUAAGUAUGUAGCUUGGUACCAACAGAAACCAGGGCAACCUCCUAAACCACUAAUCUAUUAUGCAUCCAAUCGACACACUGGAGUCCCUGAUCGCUUCACAGGCAGUGGAUCUGGGACAGAUUACACUCUCAGCAUCAGCAGUGUGCAGGCUGAAGACAUGGCAGUUUAUUACUGUCAGCAGGGUAUUAGUACUCCUCCCACAGUGCUUCAAUGA
Molecule: non-coding RNA, 394 nt
Organism: Meriones unguiculatus (Mongolian gerbil)
Lineage: Eukaryota; Metazoa; Chordata; Mammalia; Rodentia; Muridae
Source: the annotation of a RefSeq genome assembly